This 490-nucleotide ribosomal RNA is filed under the name uncultured bacterium. Its description in RNAcentral is "partial 16S ribosomal RNA". It matches the Rfam family "Bacterial small subunit ribosomal RNA", at positions 30 to 507 of the family's 1533-position model. The record is from RNAcentral.
AUUGAACGCUGGCGGCAGGCUUAACACAUGCGAGUCGAACGGUAACAUAAAGGAGCUUGCUUCUUUGAUGACGAGUGGCGGACGGGUGAGUAAUGCUUGGGAAUCUAGCUUAUGGAGGGGGAUAACUACGGGAAACUGUAGCUAAUACCGCGUAGAAUCGGGAGAUGAAAGUGUGGGACCUUCGGGCCACAUGCCAUAGGAUGAGCCCAAGUGGGAUUAGGUAGUUGGUGAGGUAAAGGCUCACCAAGCCGACGAUCUCUAGCUGGUCUGAGAGGAUGACCAGCCACACUGGGACUGAGACACGGCCCAGACUCCUACGGGAGGCAGCAGUGGGGAAUAUUGCGCAAUGGGGGCAACCCUGACGCAGCCAUGCCGCGUGAAUGAAGAAGGCCUUCGGGUUGUAAAGUUCUUUCGGUAGCGAGGAAGGCAUUUAGUUUAAUAGACUAGGUGAUUGACGUUAACUACAGAAGAAGCACCGGCUAACUCCGUG